GUCUUUUAAAACUUACUGCCAUCUCGAUUUAUUUUAUGCAAAGUUGAUUUUACACAACUCAAAGCCGACAUUUACCUCUUCAUUUUUUUUUUUUUUAAAUAAAGGAGGGUGUCACUAUGUUACACAUGCUGGCCUCAAAUUCCUGACCUGGGUUCAAGUGAUUUUCCCAUCUCGGCCACCUGAGUAGCUGGGACUACAAGCAUGUGCCAUCUUGCCUGGCUCUCUCUUAUAUCCAUACAUUCAUUUCAAUGGAUAAGAAUAAAAGGAGAGGUAGUGACAUAGCUUAAAUGCAGCAGUUGAAUAAAUGAAUUGAUAAAUUCUUAUAAAUGAUUACAUCUUUUUUUCCUUUCUCCCUCUAUGCAUAUAGCUUUGGAGUUUAACCCUCCUGCCAAUCCAGAGGCAACCACAAUAUUCCACAGGAACUCUCAAACAGAUGUUGUAGAAAUAAGAAGAAGCAACUAUACAAACCACGUAUCUACUGUGCGUUUCAGUCAACAAUACAGCUCAUGUUCGACAAUAUUCCUUGAUGACAGCACAGCCAGCCAGCCUUAUCUUACAAUGACAAUAAUAUCGUGAGUACAACUAUACUGCCAAGGGAUGGAUUCCUUUAUUCUAAAAUUAUUUCAGUCAUUUGUUUUUCCUCUUCAGCAAUCAGUUUAAGAAAUUGGAGUCAACUAUAUAUUGAUAUCCAGAUUCUAAAUAUUAAGUAUCAAUUUCUCUUUUAAUCUUAGAUGUCUUGGUGGAAGGAAAAAUCAGCAAAGAAACAAUCCCAGAAAAAGCAUAUAUUUUUUUAAUGCCUUUAUGCCUUGAGACACGUUGAACUCAGUGAGAAGGAUACGUUCCCUUUAUUGAAUGUUUCUUUGUGAAAACUUAGUUGUUCAGUGCAUUAUAGGCCUAAAUCAGUGUGUACUACUUUCAACAUUCGACUCAGAAGAAGGAACAGCUUUUCCUCUUCUGGCACCACAGUGUAUCUGUAUUUGCAUUUCUCCCAUUGUGCAUGAGCACCUCAUGGGCUACAAAGAUGCGCUUUGAGAGCACCCUGAGAUGAAGUUUAUUUUAAAAGGAACAACAACCAACACCAGCACCAGCUCCACAGGGGCUGUCCAGUGUACAUUAUUAUCAUCUCCUGGGUCAUGAGUGUUGAUUUUGAGAACACAGUUUGGAAAGUAGUAAUUUAGAAUAUUAAUAUUUUUAUCUUUAAUUUUACUAAUCAUUCUGUAAACAUAACUAGCUUAUAAACAAUUUCGUUUCAAAUGCACUAGCCUUUUUAGCUAAUUCAAUUUUACUUCAAUAAAAGUGGCAAGUUUAUACUCAUAAUAAUGUCACUUUCCUCCCUCCCUUUUAACAAUAGUUGUGAU
Molecule: long non-coding RNA, 1358 nt
Filed under: Macaca nemestrina (pig-tailed macaque)
Lineage: Eukaryota; Metazoa; Chordata; Mammalia; Primates; Cercopithecidae
Description: lncRNA (ENSMNEG00000046149.1)
Source: RNAcentral